RNAcentral lists this ribosomal RNA (501 nucleotides) under uncultured bacterium. RNAcentral describes it as "bacterial SSU rRNA". It matches the Rfam family "Bacterial small subunit ribosomal RNA", at positions 29 to 524 of the family's 1533-position model. The record is from RNAcentral.
AACGAACGCUGGCGGCGCGCCUAAUACAUGCAAGUCGAGCGAGAAGACGUAGCAAUACGUUUGUAAAGCGGCGAACGGGUGAGGAAUACAUGGGUAACCUACCCUCGAGUGGGGAAUAACUAGCCGAAGGUUAGCUAAUACCGCGUACGCUCCUUGGACUUCGGUUCAGGGAGGAAAGCGAUACCGUGGGUAUCGCGCUCUUGGAUGGGCUCAUGUCCUAUCAGCUUGUUGGUGAGGUAACGGCUCACCAAGGCUUCGACGGGUAGCUGGUCUGAGAGGACGAUCAGCCACACUGGCACUGCGACACGGGCCAGACUCCUACGGGAGGCAGCAGUAAGGAAUAUUGCGCAAUGGGCGAAAGCCUGACGCAGCGACGCCGCGUGGGGGAUGAAGGUCUUCGGAUUGUAAACCCCUUUCGGGAGGGAAGAUGGAACGAGCAAUCGUUCGGACGGUACCUCCAGAAGCAGCCACGGCUAACUUCGUGCCAGCAGCCGCGGUAAG